RNAcentral lists this long non-coding RNA (324 nucleotides) under Carica papaya (papaya). RNAcentral describes it as "long non-coding RNA (CPAP_LNC005720)". The record is from RNAcentral. Lineage: Eukaryota; Viridiplantae; Streptophyta; Magnoliopsida; Brassicales; Caricaceae.
ACAAGAAGACUGCGAGUAGAUGUUAGAUGCUUUAUAGUUUCCUUAAUUUUUCUCAUUUUUCGUAUUUUUUUCAGAGAACUUAUUCCGUGAUGUUGUUUAGUACUUUUAAGUUAUUGUGUAAGGGAUGUUAACCUUAAUUUUUUAUUUCGCUUCCGCACUCAGAUUAUUAUGUGUAUUUCCUUUUGAAUUUUUGUGACCGUUACAGUCGCCCUAUACUCCCGAUGCUUGUAUCUAUAUAUUCUAAAGAAUAACGAUCAUAAAAAGAGCAUGCCUACUUGUGAAAGUCACCGAACCUAGGUAAGUGGAAGUAUUAAAUUCUAGGAU